UUAUAUUUAAAAUUUUAUUAAUUAUUUAAAUUAAUCAAAAAAGAGUAUUAUUUAUUAAUAUUUAUUAAUUAAAAGUAAUUAUUUUAGAAUUAAGAAAAAUUUUAGUAUUUUUUUUAGAAAAAAUUAAAUUUUAUUAUAAUUUAAUGUAAAUGAAAAAUUAAUUUAAUAUUAAGAAUAAAAAUUAAAAUUUUGUACCUUUUGUAUCAGGGAAAAUUAAUUAAAAGUUAUAUUUUAUAUAAUUUUCUCAAAAUUAAAUGAAUUAAAUAUUUUAUAUAUUGUAUAAUAUAAAAUUAUUAUAUUAAAUAGAUAUUUAGGGAUUAUAUGUUAGUCAAAUUUAAUUAUAUUUAGUUUUUAAGGAAAUAAAUUUAAUUUAUAUAUUUUUAAAAUUUAAUAUAUAUAUAUAUAUAUAUAUAUAUAUAUAUAUUAAUGAAAUAUUAUAAAGUUGAAAAAAAAAAUAUUAAAAAUUUAUGGGAUAAUCUAUAAAUUUUUUUAAAAUUAUGAAUAUUUAUAUAUAUAUAUAUUAUUUUAAUAGAAUUAAAAAUAUUUUUUUAUUCAAAUUAUUUAAUAAUGUAAAAAAAACUAUAAAUUUUUAUUUUUAAUUUAAUAAUUAUACUUAAAUAUAAGUUUGAAUUUAUAAAAUUUAUCAAUAAUGGUUUUAUUAGUAUAAGAAAUUAAAUAUAAGUUGAAUAAAAUUUUUAUAUUAAUUUAAAUAAUUAGGCAAAAUUUUAUAUUCACCAGUUUAACAAAAACAUGUCUUUAUGAUUUAUAAUAUAAAGUCUAACCUGCUCAAUGAUUUUUUAAAUAGCUGCAGUAUUUUUGACUGUACAAAGGUAGCAUAAUCAUUUGUCUUUUUAAUAAGGUCUAGAAUGAAGGGUUAAAUGUAAUAUAUACUGUUUUAAAAUAAAAAUUAAAAUUUUUAAUUUAAGUUAAAAUACUUAACUAUUAAUAUUAGACGAGAAGACCCUAUAGAAUUUUAUAAAUAGAUAAUUUUAAAAUUUAAUUAAAUAUAUAAAGUUAUUUAAUUAUUUUAUUGGGGGUAUAUUAAAAUUUUAAAAAUUUUUAAAGAUUUUAAACAAAUAUAAUUGGAUAUUAAAAAAAAAAAUAUGAAUAUUUAUGAAUAGUUAAUAGAUUAAAUUACCUUAGGGAUAACAGCAUAAUUUUUUUGGAAAGAUCAAAUUUAUAAAAAAGAUUAUGACCUCGAUGUUGAAUUAUGAUAAAAUUUUAUUGUAGAAAAUAAAAAAUUUUAGUCUGUUCGACUAUUUAAUCAUACAUGAUUUGAGUUCAGAUCGGUGUGAGCCAGAUCGGAUUUUAUCUAUAUUUUUAGAAAUUAUUAUUUGUACGAAAGGACUAUAAUAUUUAAAUAAUUUAUUUAAAUUUACUAAGAAUAAUAAAUAAAU
Molecule: ribosomal RNA, 1397 nt
Filed under: Exallonyx sp. ZJUH_2016014
Lineage: Eukaryota; Metazoa; Arthropoda; Insecta; Hymenoptera; Proctotrupidae
Description: 16S ribosomal RNA
Source: RNAcentral